RNAcentral lists this small nuclear RNA (332 nucleotides) under Pogona vitticeps (central bearded dragon). RNAcentral describes it as "7SK RNA (ENSPVIG00000015253.1)". It matches the Rfam family "7SK RNA". Rfam says of the family: 7SK was discovered as an abundant small nuclear RNA in the mid-70s but a possible function has only recently been suggested. Two independent studies have found that 7SK RNA binds the CDK9/cyclin T complex (known as elongation factor P-TEFb). The record is from RNAcentral. Lineage: Eukaryota; Metazoa; Chordata; Lepidosauria; Squamata; Agamidae.
GGAUGCGAGGGCGACCUGGUUGUGACAUCUGUCACCCCAUUGAUUGCCAGGGUUGAUUUGGCUGAUCUGGCUGGCUAGACGGGUGUCCCCUUCCUCCCUCUCUACUCCAUGUGUGGCCCUCCCGAGGCGGUGUGUUCAGUUGGACGAGGACGAACAUCCCAGAUAGAAGGAGUCUAUCGUUCAUCCAUCAAGGGAGGGCUGUCCUCCUCUGCUAGAACCUCCAAACAGACAAGCUCUAGUGACGGAGUCUAGCCCAUCAGGACAAGUGGGGCAGUAGCCCAGCAGAGGUUCAGGAUACUCCCCCGUGAACACACUCCUGUUGGCCUCCUCCU